CAUACAAGCUGCAGUCUCAGAGUAAAUGAUGAUCCUGACAGCACCAAUACCAGAGCCGCACAGAGCUAUUGCAUGAUGAGAAAGGUAUGCAACUUUAAUUCUGUGUGUCCCUCAAAAACCUCCCUAUUCAUUAACAGCGAUAAGUAGUGAGUGCGCAGGGAGAUUUGGAGGAUACUAAAGAGCCUGCCUCUCUCUUCCUAAAAUUCCUUUUCCACCUGUCUCAAUGAAAAAAAUACAUCAUUAGUAUUGUUUACCUUAUUCCAUUGUAUAAGUCACUAAGCAAGGGAUUAAUUAUUUUUUUCAUUUCACACAGUGAUGAAUGAUGAACUCACAGUGGCUCUUCCGCCCACUACCCGCACCGCCACCAAUGUUUCCAACCCUACUUUUAAAAAAAUAUGUAACUAAUUAAAAAAAAAAUGAUUUAAGACUUUAUUGAGGUUUUGCGUGUUACAUACAGAAAAAAUAAACAGUAAAUGCAUUUGACAUUUUUAAUGAACUAUUUAGUGGCCAAGGAGAAGUAUAUAUGCACACUUAAUCACACUUGUUAGAGAGGAAGAGCUUUGGAGUUGAAUCUAUUUCCUCUCCCUAUUUGCCCUUAAUGCCACAACUACCACCAUUGUACAAAUAAAUAAUUGAAUGACAAAACACUCUGUCUUAAUAUAUUUUACAAAAAUGAAGUAUACAACAAUGAAGGGGAUCCAAGUCUCCAAGAUACAUGAAUAAGGCUCCAUAGAGCCAAAAUGUCACACUUUUGUGGGUGGCUGAUCCUUCAAUAAAACAGACCAUCGGUACCUUUGAGUGUUGCCUGUGUCUUCUACUUUCUUGGAGUACUAGGCUGAUUUGCGGUGCCUGCCCCACACAGAGCAUCUCUUUGGUAGAUGGCCGGAUAACCUUGUGGAACUGAAAUUCUCAUAGAUUGUAAGCUCAUUUGAGCAAGCCCUUCUUCACUCUAUAUAUCCACUUUCUCGAAUUGUAAAACACUGCAGAAUAUGUUGGUGCUGUGUAAAUGCUAAAAAUAAUAUAUUAUGAUCAGCCACGAGAUUAAAAGCGCCUGCCUAAUAAUAUCAUGUAGGUCCCACUCAUGCUGCGAAAACAGCUAUGAUGCGUCAAGGCAUGGUCUACAUAACACAUCUGAACAUUUCCUGUGGUAUCUGGCACCAAGUUAUUACCAGCAGAUCCCGCAAGUCCCGCAAGUCCCGCAAGUCCCGCAAUUUGCGAGGUAGGGCUUCCAUGGAUCGGAUUUGUUGUUCCAACACAUCCCGCAGAUACUAAAUCAGACUGAGAUCUGGAGAAUUUGAAUUCAAGCAACACCUUGAACUCUUUGUCAUAAUUCUCAAACCAUUCCUGAACAAUUGUUGCAGAUUAUCAGGGUGCAUUAUCUUGCUGAAAGAGGACAAUGCCAUCAGGGAACAUCACUGCCGUGAAGGGGUUUAAGUGAUCUGCAAUAAUCUCUGGGUAGGUGGUACGCGUCAAAGUAACAUCCACAUAAAUGCAAGGACACAAGGUUUCCCAGCAGAACAUUGACCAGAUCAUGAUACUGCCUCCGCCGUCCUGCCCACUUCCUCUAGUACAUCCUGCUGCAAUCUCUUCCCCAGGUAAAUGAUGCACACGCACCCAACCAUCCACCUGAUCUAAAUGAAAAAGGGAUUUGUCAGACCAGCAACCUUCUUCCAUAGCACCAUGGGUCAGUUCAGAUGCACAAGUUCACAUUAAAAGCACUUUCAGCAGUGUAUAGGGGUCAUCGUGGGCAUUCUGACCAGUCUGUGGCUACGCAGCCCCAUGGGCAGCAAACUGCAAUGCAUUGUGUGUUCUGAAACAUUUCUAUUUUUACCAGCAUUAAUUUUUUCAGCAAUUUGAGCUAUUGUAGCUUAUCUGUGUGAUUAGACCAGACGGGCUAGCCUUUGCUCCCCACUUGCAUAAAUGAGCUUUUGGCAACCAUGACCCUGAUGCCGGUUCACAGGUUGCUCUUCCUUGCACCAGUUUUAGUAGGUACUAACACUACAAUCCUGGGAAUACCCCACAAAACUUACCAGUUUGAAAAUUCUCUGACCCAGUCAUCUAACCAUCUCCAUUUGGACCUUGUCAAAAUCACUCAGAUCUUUUAGUUUGUCUACUUGUCCUGCUUCCCAAACGUGAAAUUCAAGAACUGACUGUUCACUUGCUGCCUAAUAUAUCCCACCCCUUGACAGGCACCAUUGUAACAAUAUAAUUAAAGUUAUCACUUCACAUGUCAGUGGUUUUAAUGUUGUGGCUGAUCAGUGAAUAUAGAUAUAAAUAUAUAAGGGAAUAUAUUUAUAAUAUAAACAUGCUAAUAAUAAUAAUUUAUAUUAGUGAAAAUUGCAGGGGCAAAUCUAAGUGAAAUAAAAAAUGUAGGCCAAAAUAGUCAAAUUGGAAGAAUUCUCCAUGUCAAUUCUGUUUGCUGUUAUAGAAACAUAGAAUGUGAUGGCAGAUAAGAACCAUCAUUAGUCCCUGGCCUUAUCUUAUAGUUAGGGUAGCCUUAUGCCUAUACCACACAUGCUUAAACUCCUUUACUGUGUUAACCUCUACCACUUCAGCUGGAAGGCUAUUCCAUGCAUCCACUACCCUCUCAGUAAAGUAAUACUUCCUGAUAUUAUUUUUAAACCUUUGCCCCUCUAAUUUAAAACUAUGCCCUCUUGUUGUGGUAAUUUUUAUUCUUUUAAAUAUAGUCUCCUCCUUUACUGUGUUGAUUCCCUUUAUGUAUUUAAAUGUUUCUAUCAUAUCCCCCCUGUCUCAUUUUUCCUCCAAGCUAUACAACGAAAGGUUAAAGGAUCUUAACAUGUAUAGCUUGAAGGAAAGAUGAAACAAGGAGGGAGACAACACAGUAAAGGAGAAGACUAUAUUUAAAAGAAUCGUCUUAAAUUAGAGGGGCAAAGGUAUGCUAGUUUAGUACUGAUUAUGUGCAUUGGCUAGUGGCCCUCAAAGUUCUCCUGGGCUGGACUGUCAGGCUUUGAUGAGUGUAUGAGAUUGCAAGUGACUGCAUGGCGACAGCUCUCCCCUGUACCUGAGGCUGUAAGUUCUGGCAGUGUGUAUAUAAGCCUGUAUCUGGCAUUUUAUAACUGCUUGUAUGUCUGCUGGUGUGUAUACAGUUGUGCUCAAAAGUUUGUAUACCCUUGGAGAAUUGGUAAUAUAUGUACCAUUUUUAAAGAAAGCAUGAGUGAGCAGGCAAAACACAUUUUUUUGUUAUUUCUUGUAGGAUUUAUAUUCAACUGUGGGUUAUAACAGAAUGGCACAAUCAUAAAACUAAACAUGGCAACAAAGAAAAAAAAUUAAAUUAGCCCUGUUCAAAAGUCUGCAUAUCUUUAGUUAUCAAUACUGUCUAUUGCCUCCUUUAGCAUUAAUGUCAGCGUGCAGUAUUUUGUAAUAGUUGUCUAUGAGGCCCCCAAUUCUUAUAAGUGGUAUAGCUGCCCAUCCAUCUUGGCAAACUGCCUACAGGUCAUGCAAAGUCUUUUGUCGUCUUGCAUGAACCGUACAUUUAAAAUCUCCCCAGAGUGGCUCGAUGAUAUUAAGGUCAGGAGACUGUGAUGGCCACUCCAGAACCUUCAAUAGCGCCCCAUGCGCAGCCUUCGUGCAGAAGAAUGCAAUUGGCUAAUAGUAUUUUCUGAUAACAUGCUGCAUUCAUCUUGCCAUCAAUUUGCACAAUAUUCCCUGUGCCUUUAGAGCUCACACACCCAGAAAACAUCAGUGAACCAUUUUUUCACAGUGGGGAUGGUAUUCUUUUCACUAUAGGCUUUGUUGACCCCUCUCCAAACAUAGCUGUGACCAUAAAGCUCUAUUUUGGUCUCAUCACUCCAAAUUAACAGUGUGCCAAAAGCUGUGAGGCAUGUCAAGGUGUUGUUGGACAUAUUGUAACCAGGCUUUUUUGUAGCAUUGGCGCAGCAAAAGCUUCUUUCUGGCAGCACUAUCAUGCAGUUCAUUUUUGUUCAAGUAUCGUUGUAUUGUGCUCCUUGAAACAACCACAACGUCUUUUUCCAGAGCAGACUGCACUUUAUAAAGGAUGGAAAUCUAUUAACUUGUUACGCAGGUCUUUUCUGCUCCCCAAUUCUACUGGCAGUUGUAACUGAAAUCUUUCUUGGUCUACCUGACCUUGGCUUGGUAGCAAGAGAUCCCCUGAAUUUUCCUUUUCCAUCUUUAUAAAGUUCCUUUUCCUUGUUACACAGAUCAGGGCCGGGCUUAGGCCCUUAGACGCCCUGUGCGAAAAAUCUUCGCAGUUCCUCCCCUCCCCCCCGUCAUUCUUUUUAUAGUGUAUUAAAUAAAUAAUCAUUUAAAAACAAAUAUUAAUUCCUCAUUUUCUGUUGUUACCUAGUUGGGAGAGGGGCAUGCUGAUCUGAAUCUGGUCUGCCCCUCCACUGGGUGCAGACCAUGUGUAACUGUCUUGCAAGCUCAGGGACUUGCAGUGUCCUGUGGUAAUCUGCGGCAGUGCUCUGAUUGGCUGGAGCUAGGAAGACAGCUACUUAUGGUCUGCAGCCAACAGAAGUGCAUGCCAGAUGUGUCAGACUGCAGAGUCACAUGCACACAGUCCCACAGCCAGAUGCACACAGUUAUAUAUAUAUACACUGUCAAAUACAUAAGGUCAGGCAGAAACACACAGGUACAGGCAGUUACACACACAAACAGUUACAGGCAGAUAAACACACUCACACAGUUACAGGCAGACAGUAACACACAGUUACAUAUAGUCACACACACAGUGACAGGCAGACAGUCACACGCACACACAAUUAAAAUCAGACAGUAACAUACACACACACAGUUACAGGCAGACAAUGACAAACCCACACAGGUACAGACAGAGAGUCACAUACGUACAGCCACACAUACAGUCUCACACACACACACACACACACACUUACAUGUAGGCAGUCAUAUACACAGAGACAGACAGUCACACACACACAUACACACACACAGACAGCUUCACACACAGAGGCAGACAGUCACACAGGCGCACACACACAGUCACACGCUCACACGCGCACACACACACACACACACAUGUAGACAGUCACACUGUCAGGCAGACAGUCACACACACAGGUACACACACACAGAGGCAGACACCUACACACACAGGCAGACAGUCACACACACACCCAGACAGUCACACACACACACACACAGGUACUCACACACACAGAGGCAGACAGCCACACACGCAGGUACUCACACACACAGAGACAGACAGCCACACACGCAGGUACUCACACACACACACACAUACAGGCAGACAGCCACACACACAGGCAGACAGCCACCCACACACACACACACACGCAGACAGUCACACACACACACACACAGGCAGACAGCCAUACACACAGGCAGACAGUCACACAGGCACACACACACAGCCACACACACAGAGGCAGACACCCACACACACAGGCAGACAGUCACACACAGGAGACAGCACACACAGGCAGACAGCCACACACAGGUACUCACACACACUGCAGGCAGACAGUCACACACACACACACACACGCCACAGACAGCCACACACGCAGGCAGACAGCCACCCACACACACACGCAGACAGUCACACACACACAGGCAGACAGCCAUACACACAGGCAGACAGUCACACAGGCACACACACACACAGGCCCACACACACAGAGGCAGACAGCCACACACACACAGGCAGACAGCCACACACGCAGAUAGUUACACACACACACGCAGUCACACACACGCAGACAGUCACACUCACAUGCAGACAGUCACACACACACGCACACAGUCACACACACACAGACAGCCACACACGCAGGUACUCACACACACAGAGACAGACAGCCACACACGCAGGCAGACAGUCACACACACACACACACACACAUACAGGCAGACAGCCACACACACAGGCAGACAGCCACCCACACACACACACACACACACACACACAGGCAGACAGCCCAUACACACAGGCAGACACACAGGCACACACACACACACACAGCCCACACACAGAGGCAGACAGCCACACACACACAGGCAGACAGCCACACAGGCAUACAGCCACACACGCAGAGAGUUACACACACACACGCAGUCACACACACGCAGACAGUCACACUCACAUGCAGACAGUCACACACACACACACACAGUCACACACACAAAGGCAGUCACACACACACACACACACACACACACACAGGCAGACAGUUGCACACACACACACACACAGGCAAACAGCCCACACACACAGGCAAACAGUCCACACACAGGCAGACAGUCACACACACACACACACACACACACACACACACAGACAGCACACACACACACAGGCAGACAGUCACACACACACACACACACACACACACAGGCAGUCAGUCACGCACACACACACAGGCAAACAGUCACACACACACGCACACACACACACACAGGCAAACAGUCACACACACACCGCACACACACACACACAGGCAAACAGUCACACACACCAGCACACACACAGGCAAACAGCCACACACACAGGCAAACAGUCACACACAGACACACACACACACACACACACACACAGACAGCCACACACACACAGGCAGACAGUCACACACACACACACACACACACACACACAGGCAGUCAUUCACACACACACACACACACAGCCACACACACAGGUACUCACACUCAGGCAGACAGUUGCACAUACAUGGUUACCUCUGUUCUUUAUGGGAGGAGUGAAGGCAGUGCAGCUCUGGUUGUUGGGGAAGCAGGGACUCCUUCCUGCUUCCCAUGCAGCUGUCAUUUUAGCUCUGCCCCGCCGUAAUUUAAACCCCACCCCCACUGUAAUCACAAUGCUGAGAGGGUUUUUUUCUAAUCCCGGGUGGAGAAUAAUGAAAUCCUCCACCCGGGCAGCUGGCAAUGUGUGAGCUGUGUCGGCCACAUGGCGCCCCCUGCUCCACAGCGCCAUCGCACACCCCUAAGGCCGGCCCUGACACAGAUCUUUUGACAGUUCUUUUCUGCUCCCCAUGACUCUAGCAUGCAAUCGUGUGAAAGCUAAUAAACUCAUUAACUAUUUAUGCACAGACACUAAUUGCAAUUUAAAAAGUCACAGGUGUACAAAAUUAAUCUUUAAUUACCAUUUUAACAUUGUGUGUCUUUUUAUGUGUUUGUAACAAAGCCAAACAUUCAAGGGUAUGCAAAAUUUUGAUCUGGGCCAUUUGCGUGUUUUCUGUUAUCAUUAUGAUUUACAAAAGAAGCCAAACAACUAUUUGAUAAUAAAUGGCUUCAUAUGAUCAUAUCCUUCAAUAAAAUAUAUAUUUUUUGCACGAUCAGUCAUAUUUUCAAAAUCAAUGCCAAACUUUAACAAUUUCUGCCAAAGUAUGCAAAUGUUUGAGCACAACUGGAUGUAUAAAUGUGUGUCCGACAGUCAGGGUUAUUAAUUAACUUGAGAAUUCAAAGUGAAUUUCAAAUUUAUGGUCGAAAUAUCUGAAUUAGAAAAAAUUCUAUAAGUCAGUAAUGCUGCCAGUUCUGCUACUUUUGCCUUACAUUUGAUAUUCACUUUGCAUUCUCAUUGUAUGGAAUAGCCCUGAGUGUGUAUCUGUGUGUGUGUCUGUGUCUGGCAGUGUGCAUUUUUGUGUAUGUUUGGGAAAUGUGUAGGUAUUGAUGAAUAUGUACAUGUGUGUACUUAUGGUGAUGAUUGUGAUGGUGGUGUCUACAUUUCUAUUUGCAUCUAAUUAUCAUUAAAUAUUCGUACAUUAGUUCUAUGAUCAGCAUACAAACUCAUCGUUUAUUUGUUGUUUUAUAUGUAGAUUUGUCACCCCUUCCUGUAACAUAAAUAUGUAUUUCAGCCUUAAUACAUCCAUUGUUACAUGAAAAAGACUUGCAUCCAUUAAAUUCAGCCUUUCUCUGUAUUUGUGUGUUAGCCAUAAAACAUUGCAGCAGGGGUCCAUUCAGAGAUGUGGUAUUGAAGAUCAUUUAAUUUUAACAAUAUAAACCUGUGCGGUGAUAAUUAUAAAUACUCCAUCUAGACUACAUAGACUAUACAAGAUUAAAGAUUUACCUUUACUUUAUUUGUACAAACACAGCAGCUUUUUCUCUCCUUUUAUUAAAAAAAUAAAAAAAAUAACAAAAAACAAUAUUAGUAUCAAAUAUUUUGCUCUGUAGAAGUCAAGUGGCUUUUACUUCUUGCUGUGCUGACGUUUCAACCACUAUACAGGUUUAGACCUUUGAUAUUAAUUUAUAAUGGAUUUAUUGUUAAAUGCACAAUGUAUUAAAAGCAUUUUAAGCAAGAGAUACAUUUGUUCCAUUACUUAAAACAGCUGUUUUAUAUUCCUUUAAAAAAAAAAAAAAAAAAUGUAUGCUCUUCAUGUGGGUUGAAGUUAAUAGAUGAUACAGGCAGAAUAAAACUGGAUAUGAUUUAAAAGCAGAAGAAAAGAUUAUAGAAAGUGAAAAAAAAAUAUAUCUUUGAUUCUUGAGAGGGAACUAAUCCUGAGCUAUUUGGAGAAAUAUUGGAAAAUAAACCCAUUGUACAUAACCCAAUUAGUACGGCAGCCCUCACAAAAGACUCAUAUUUGCAAGCUGUGCAACAAAUUAUUAACCAACAAAGGGUAGCAUUACGCACAUCAUUAUUCAAAGCCAUAAGACUGGCUGUCAUGUUGGGAAGAACUCAACAUUUCUAUUUGCAUAACAUUAAACGGACGUGGAUGUUUGAACUUUUCUUGAUAGGAAUGUCUACCCACGGAGAACAUUUGGCAGGAAUGGGAAAAUGCUGAACUUAGUUCUUUGGUAGAAAUAUAAAAUGAGGUAAUGGCAAAGGGAGGGGGACAGGUCAUUUUAAAUUUAAAAAAGAGCCUUCGGUUGCUGUAAAGGAAGUAAGCCUUUGCAAAACAAGGUAUUUGAAGAAAGAUUUAUUUUAAGAUUUUAUUUAAGAAAAUGGAAUGAUUGGUGUAAGGAACUUAUCACAUGUGUAGCUAACAGGAAAGGGAGGACAUUUUAAAAGUGAUGCAAUCUCCAUGGAAACAAACUGAGUUAAUAGAAUAUUUCAGUUAUCCCGCCUCCAUAUAGAAAUGGGUGCUAUAGCAAUGUGAAAAACUUAAACCUGUGUUUACUUUCAAUCUCAAAAAUAACACUGAAAGUCCUUUUAAAUGGAGACUUACUAAGCACACUUUACAUUGCCAAGAAGGGUCAUUUCACAUGUAUGAGCAAGUCUUCUGACAUCUGUAAGAUCAAUUUAUUGUAUCACUAAUAUAUGCCCUCCUGUAAUGUUGCUUAAUUAAGAUAAAAGCAUUUUGUUGUUCUACAAAUUCAUAAAAAUAAAUCCAGUCAUCUUCUUCGUGUAGUUUGCAAUCACAGAAAUAAACAGAUAUCUCCUAUUCUAUGUUUACAUAGUCGGUUACUGGAACAUCAAGUUGGCGGAAGAACUGCAGCAUAUUCCCAGAAUUACCAGCUUCUGUGCCAAUUCCCCAAAACCGUAUCCAUCUUUCUGCUGCAUAUUUUGCUCCCUUCUUCUCAUUCCAGUGUUUAUUCAUAGUUACAUAAGCUAAAAAGAGAUGUGUGUCCCUCAAGUUCAGCCUUUCUCACAUUUGCUUUUGUUAUUGAUCCAAAAGAAGGCAAAACACCCAGUUUGGGAUGCUUUCCAAUUUUGCAACAAACUAGGAAAGAAUUCCUUCUUGACCCCGUAAUGGCAGUCAAGUUUAUUCUUUGAUCAAGGAGUUAUCCCACCAAUUAAACAUGUUACUUUGUAUCAACAGCAAAAGUAGAUAUGAGAAAGUCUAAACUUGAUGCAAAUCUCUUUUUAGCCUAUGUAACCAUGUCAUUAUGUAAUAUCCUCUCUGAUGUGCUUUUUAAAAAAUUUUUUUAAACUAAACAGUUUCUAUAUGUUAACCUUUCUUCAUAACUAAACCUUUCAAUUUCUUUUAUUAAUUUUGUAGCCCGUCUCUGAACUUUUUUUAGUGCCAUAAUAUCGUCAUUUACAAUAGGUGCCCAAAAAUACGCAAAAGUGCCCAAAAGUGAUUUAUAAAGAGGCAAAAUUAUAUUCUCAUCCCGAGAAUUAAUACAUGACAAUACCUUACUGGCCUUAGAAACUGCUGGUUAUAAUUGCACAUUUUUACCUAGUUUGUGGUUUAUAACAAUUCCCAAAUCUUUCUUGGGUGUUGUUAUCCCUAAAUCACUACCUUACUUACACCUAAAUUUAAGGUGUAAGUUGCUUGUGUAUUCUUUACCCUGAAGUGCAUAACUUUGCAUUUAUCUACCUUAGAUUUCAUCUUCCACUUGAGUGCCCAGUCCCCAGUCUAUCUGAAUCCCUCUGCAGCAAAGCAAUAUCCUGUUUAAAUUGUAUUACUUUACAGAGUUUUGUUUCAUCUGCAAACACUAAAAUAUGACUUUCAAUGUCUAUUUCAGUAGCAUUUAUAAAUAUGUUGAAAAUAAGUAGUCCUAGGACAGAACCCUUAGGGACACCGCUUACCACCUCUGUCCAGCAUGACAAUUUACCAUUAAUGACAACUCUCUGUACUCUAACUUUAAGCCAAUGUUCUACCCAAGAACAAGAAUUUUCAUCUAGACCAAUUUCUUUUAGUUUAAAAACGAAACUAUUGUGUGUUGAAUGCCUUGGCAAAAUACAAGUAGGUAACAUCCACUGCAUCAUCCUGAUCUAUACUUCUGCUUAAACUUCAACUAACAGUUUGACAUUAUUAUUAUGAUUUAUAAAGCGCCAACAAAUUCCGUAGCGCUGUACAAUGGGUAGACUAACAGACACAUAAUUUUAACCAGACAAGUUGGAUGCACAGGAGUAGAGGGGUUGAGGGCACUGCUGCUCAGUGAGAUUACAUGCUAGAGGGAGUGGGGUAUAGUUACAUAGUUACAUAGUUACAUAGCUGAAAAGAGACUUGCGUCCAUCAAGUUCAGCCUUCCUCAGAAAUGUUGUUGCUGUUGAUCCAAAAGAAGGCAAAAAACCUGGUCUGAAGCACUUCCAAUUUUGCCACAAACUAGGAAAAAUUCCUUCUUGACCCCAAAAUAGCAGUCAGAUGUCUCCUUGGAUCAAUCAGCUAUUACCCCACUAAUUAGAAAUUAUAUCCCUGUAUGUUAUGUUUUUGUAAGUAUUUAUCCAAUUUCAGUUUAAACAUCUGUAUGGACUCUGACAAAACCACCUCUUCAGGCAGAGAAUUCCAUAUCCUUAUUGUUCUUACUGUAAAAAAACCUUUUCUUUGCCUUAGAUGAAAUCUCCUUUCUUCCAGCCUAAAUGUGUGACCUCGUGUCCUAUGUAUAGCCCUGUUUAUGAAUAGAUUUCCAGAUAAAGGUUUGUACUGGCCCCGAAUAUAUUUGUAUAAAGUUAUCAUAUCCCCUCUCAGGCGCCGUUUUUCCAAACUAAACAGAUUUAAUUUUUGUAACCUUUCUUCAUAACUAAAAUGCUCCAUUCCUUUUAUCAAUUUUGUAGCUCGUCUCUGGACCCUCUCCAGUGCCAUGAUAUCCUUCUUUAGAACAGGCGCCCAAAAUUGCACAGCAUAUUCAAGGUGUGGUCUUACCAGCGAUUUAUACAGAGGCAAAAUUAUAUUUUCAUCCCGAGAAUUUAUGCCCCUAUUUAUACAUGACAAAAUCUUACUGGCCUUAGCAACUGCAGAUUGACAUUGCAUAUUGCUGCCUAAUUUGUUGUCUAUAACAAUGCCCAAAUCCUUCUCGUGUGUGGUUAUCCCUAAUUCACUACCAUUUAGUGUGUAAGUUGCUUGUGCAUUCUUAACCCCGAAGUGCAUAACUUUGCAUUUCUCUAUGUUAAAUUUCAUCUGCCAUUUUAGUGCCCAGUCCCCCAAUCUAUCCAAAUCUCUCUGCAACAAAGCAAUAUCCUGCUCACAUUUUAUUACUUUACAAAGUUUUGUGUCAUCUGCAAACACUGAUACAUGGCUUUCAAUGCCUAUUUCAAGAUCAUUUAUAAAUAUGUUAAAUAGAAGUGGUCCCAAAACAGAACCCUGAGGGACACCACUUACCACUUUUGUCCAGCCUGAAAAUUUACCAUUAAUGACAACUCGUUGUACUCUGUCCUUAAGCCAAUGUUCUACCCAAGAACAGGAAUAUUCAUCUAGACCAAUUUCUUUUAGUUUGAAAACUAACCUAUUGUGAGGAACCGUAUCAAAUGCCUUGGCAAAAUCCAAGUAGAUCACAUCCACUGCAACACCCUGAUCUAUACUUCUACUUACUUCUUCGUAGAAUGCAAUUAGGUUAGUUUGACAUGACCUAUGUUUCAUAAAACCAUGCUGAUUAUUGCUAAUAACAAAGUUCUUCCCAAUGAAUUCCUGAAUAUUAUCCCUUAAUAGCCCUUCAAAUAUUUUCCCAGUUAGUGACACAAAGAAUAAGCGUAGGGUUGCUAGAAAAGUAUUCACUGAGGGCUUAGUGGGUUAUUUUUUAAAGGUGCAAGAGAGGAAUCAGGGUGCGGGGAGGGAAAGCUGUUAACUGUUUAAUUGAGACGCUUUCCUGAAGAAGUGAAUUUUUAAUGAAUUUUUUAAGGUAAAAUUCUAAUAGACAUGUGUAGGGGUAGGGUAAGGGGUAGGGUUAGGGUUAGGGCAUUGACGAAGUUCCAAAUUUCGGAAGUGCCGAAACAAGCCAAAUAUUUUGCCCAUGCACAUCCUUAAAGUCUAAUGAGAGAGUAGAACAGAAGAGAGUUCCACAGGAAUAGUGCAGCCCUAGAGAAGACUUGCAGGCGAGCAGCAGAGGUGGAAGUACAGAGAAAGGAUAGACAUAGGUCUUAGUCAGCACAUAGGGGCCUAAUUGAGCCCUAUAUCUUACAGGAAGCCAAUGUAAGGACUAACAGAAGGGGCAGGCCUGGGAGGUGCGGGCAGAAAGGAAGAUGAGCCUUGCCACUGCAUUCAUUAUAGACUGUAACGGGCCAAGCUGGAAACACAUAAGACCACUGAGAAGGAGUUUGCACUAGGUCAGACUAGAUAGAACAACAGCAUGGACCAGCACCUUAGUCGCAUCUGUUGUUAAAUAGGUGCAGAUGCGCGCUAUGUUUUUGAGAUGGAAGCGGCAGGAUUUGGUGAUAGACUGGACAUGAGGGGUGAAGGAGUCAAAGAGAACACCAAGGCAGCAAGCCUGCGAGGUAGAGGUGAUGGUAACGCCGAU
Molecule: non-coding RNA, 13086 nt
Organism: Pelobates cultripes (western spadefoot toad)
Lineage: Eukaryota; Metazoa; Chordata; Amphibia; Anura; Pelobatidae
Source: the annotation of a GenBank genome assembly